UGGGCCAGCAGCACGACAGAAUGGAGACUUGGAACCAGGUUGGACUCACAGCACGACAGAAUGGAGACUUGAAACCAGAACUACAGCAGGCUGGCAGAGAAUGGAGGAACUAUGGACUGGACGAGACUGGAUGAGGUGAGCAGCAAAAACAGAGAUUACACGGCAGAAAUUGUGGAUUCCCUACUUCUGCACAAACCUUGAGCCAGUUUGACGUCCUCCUGCCCUAGCCAGCAACUCCAGGUCAUGAUGAACAGAUUUUGUAUUUGGAUGCAGCAACAGACAACAGAGCAAACAC
This is a long non-coding RNA of Fundulus heteroclitus (mummichog), 295 nucleotides long. RefSeq lists it as uncharacterized. NCBI's taxonomy places the organism in Eukaryota, Metazoa, Chordata, Actinopteri, Cyprinodontiformes, Fundulidae. The record is from RefSeq and is a predicted model, not a curated record. The transcript has 3 exons.